AUUGAACGCUGGCGGCAGGCUUAACACAUGCAAGCCGAGCGAGCGCCGGACGGUUGAGUAAUGUCUGGGAAACUGCCUGAUGGAGGGGGUUACCUACUGGAAACGUUAGCUAAUACCCCCUACCAUCAGUUUUGCCCAGAUGGGAUUAGCUAGUAGGUGGGGCAAUGGCUCACAAAGGCGACGAUCCCUAGCUGGUCUGAGAGGAUGACCAGCCACACUGGAACUGAGACACGGUCCAGACUCCUACGGGAGGCAGCAGUGGGGAAUAUUGCACAAUGGGCGCAAGCCUGAUGCAGCCAUGCCGCGUGUGUGAAGAAGGCCUUCGGGUUGUAAAGCACUGUCAGCGAGGAGGCGUUACUCGCAGAAGAAGCACCGGCUAACUCCGUGCCAGCAGCCGCGGUAAUAC
Molecule: ribosomal RNA, 406 nt
Filed under: uncultured bacterium
Lineage: Bacteria
Description: partial 16S ribosomal RNA
Rfam family: Bacterial small subunit ribosomal RNA
Source: RNAcentral